UAUAAGUUUUAUUCUUGCUAUCAGUUUAUUUUAUUUAAGUUUUACAUGUAAAUUUUUGUGAGGGGAUAGGUUAUUUAAAUAGUAGAAGUUUCAUUCGCAGUAUAUAAUUUUAUAAAUUAAGGUAAUUUAGAUUUAGCUAUAAAUUAAAGUAUUGGUUAAAUUCGUGCCAGCCACCGCGGUUAGACGAUAAAUAUGAAUAAACAUAAUUAGUUGGGAGUUAAUGUUAGUAUAAUGAGAUGUUAUUAUAUAAUAUUUUAAGGUAAAAUUUAUGAAUAUUAUUUAUGCAUUGAAUGUUACAUGAAGCUUUGAAAUUUUAAAGUUGAGACUAGGAUUAGAUACCCUAUUAUUAAAAAUGUAAAAUUGUGGCUUGGGUAGUAUUAGUUAAGUUCUUGAAACCCAAAGAAUUUGGCGGUGUUUUAGUCUUUUCAGAGGAAUCUGUCCCGUAAUCGAUAAUUCACGAUUGGGUUAACUUAAUUUUAAGGAUUUGUAUACCGCCGUCAUCAGAAUAUUUUUAUAGAAAAAUUUCGAUACACUUAAGUAAGUAAGAUGUCAGGUCAAGGUGCAGUUGAUGAUUAAGGGGAGAUGGAUUACAAUAAUGUUAAUUAUAAUGGAUAUUUAAUUUGAAUUUAAAUUGAAGGUGGAUUUGAUAGUAAUAGAAUUAAAUAGAUUUUGUGAUUUUAGCUCUAAAACAUGCACACAUCGCCCGUCGCUCUCAUAUUAGUUGAGAUAAGUCGUAACAAAGUAGAUGUACUGGAAAGUGUGUCUGGAAUGU
This 772-nucleotide non-coding RNA is filed under the name Camptonotus carolinensis (leaf-rolling cricket). Lineage: Eukaryota; Metazoa; Arthropoda; Insecta; Orthoptera; Gryllacrididae. The record is from RNAcentral.